Molecule: ribosomal RNA, 396 nt
Filed under: Triticum aestivum (bread wheat)
Lineage: Eukaryota; Viridiplantae; Streptophyta; Magnoliopsida; Poales; Poaceae
Description: partial small subunit ribosomal RNA
Source: RNAcentral
GGGUGGGUGGAUGGGACCGCGCGACGCGCGUGGGGUGGGUCAUGUGGGGGUGUAAUUCUGCUUUUCUACUCGCUCUUCACUUACCCAGUUGUGUUGUUGUCUCUCUCCUCUUUUGGUCCCACAUGUCGGCACCGCUGUUGUCACCGGCAGAAUGGCCGACUGGCCAUGGGCGGGCUCGGAGCCCUCUGCGAGCAGGUGAAGGAGCUUAAUUUCCAGGGGUAUGAGGUGAUUCUGGUCGCCUCCCGCGCCGCCGGCGUUGAGGCAGAGGCUCAAGUACGGAAAGCUCAUCAACAGCAGUUUCGCCGAUCUGCAGAACCCAUAGUUCGACCUGGAUGGGAAGGCAUGCGCUGCCGUCGGCCAGAGUGGCCUCAUGGCUAUCUACGAUACACUAUUUAG